GCUAAACUAUUUUUGCGAUGUGUUCCUAAUAUGUAAUAUAAAUGUAUUGGGGACAUUUUGCAUUCAUAGUUUUGUAUC
Molecule: non-coding RNA, 78 nt
Organism: Macaca mulatta (Rhesus monkey)
Lineage: Eukaryota; Metazoa; Chordata; Mammalia; Primates; Cercopithecidae
Source: Rfam